GUCGUUCCUACUUCCUAUAGGCUUCAAUGCCUGACACUUUUGGAUGGAGCAUAUUUUUGUUAAUGAUUAACAAGUGUGUUUCCUAUGUUGGUGCGCAUGUUAUUGCUUCCUGUUAACAAAUUUUCACUGACAAAGGGCAUAAUUUAGUUUCUAUCUUCCACUUCUAAGGACUUGACUGUUUGAUCAAACAUGCAUAACUAGGCAAUUUAAGUGUCAUUUGUUGGGAAAUUUAAGUGUCAUCUAUUAGGCAGCAAUGUGCACCCAAUUAGGCAAUUUAGCCUUUUGUUACAAAUAUAGAGGUUCAUUAAUUUAUGUGUGCUGCUAUAUUGUCAUGACAUGCGUGCAACUCAUUUAUUUUCAUUCAUUCACCAUAUGGAGCAGCAGCUCAGUAGUUUACUUUUCUCUUUGCCGAUACAAAUAUUAUUUUUGCAUGUUUUGUCCCUUCUGGGCUGACCUCCGCCCCAUACACGCUCGUUGACCGUAGGCUCAUGAGCAGGCAGCUACAGGACGCCUUCCUUAAGAUCAGGCUGACACCUCAUCAGCGAAGGAGGUGUGAGGCCAUCAAGCAUCAAAAUGAACAUAUGCAGCAACCAUGUGUAGCAGCUAACACAAGGAAGUCGAAUGCAAUAGGAGUACCAUGUGCAGCAGUUAACAUAAGAAGGUUUAAUGUAGCAAUAUGCGUAUCUAUAGGAGUGGUGCAUAUAGUAUAUAUCUAUGUUAACUAGUAAGAGCAACAUCUGGUAGUAAGAUGUGUAGUAAGAACAUUAGUCAUUUACAUGUCUAAGUUAGUAUCAGAUCUGCUAAUGCAGUAGGAACUGCAAUACUAUAUAAUUGCUUAUGCAAAAGAGCUAGAUUGCUUAUGUAAAAUGACUGAAUUGCUUAUGCAAAAGUAAUUAAUUACUCAUAAGUUAGGAUCAUAUCUGCUUAUGGUGUAGGAACAACAGAUAUCAAGUGAUGCAAAAGAACUGAAUUGCUUCUAGUAAUAGAUGUGGUUGGUGAUGCAAAAGAACUGAAUUGCUUCUCGUAACAGAUCUGUCUGGUUCUUUUUUUUAUCAUUGUGUAAUUCUAGUGUCAGAGAAGAAGUUGGUUAUCUGCAGUUGAUAGUAUCAAUUUGCAUAUUUUAUACGUACCUACUGUUUUGAAUAUAUUGUUCUGCUUUUGUUU
Molecule: long non-coding RNA, 1164 nt
Organism: Sorghum bicolor (sorghum)
Lineage: Eukaryota; Viridiplantae; Streptophyta; Magnoliopsida; Poales; Poaceae
Exons: 2
Source: RefSeq, a predicted model, not a curated record